Long non-coding RNA from Carassius gibelio (silver crucian carp), 861 nucleotides. RefSeq lists it as uncharacterized. NCBI's taxonomy places the organism in Eukaryota, Metazoa, Chordata, Actinopteri, Cypriniformes, Cyprinidae. The transcript is spliced from 6 exons. The record is from RefSeq and is a predicted model, not a curated record.
UAUUCAACCCAUUCUCACUCCAAAGGCGUCAAAAACCGAAGCAUGGUCAAGCGCCCCUAGCGUCACUUUUAUGACGCCAAAUGUGCCUCUCGGCGUCGAAUAUCGAAGCACUACGACCUUCAUUGCUUUCAAUGGGAAACUUUUGGCGUCAGAAUUCGACACGAGGACAUGAGAUGUUUAUCGCUAUGAAAUCACGUUCAAGAAGUCUCAUUCAGCACACAUCGCGAUACUUGCUAUCAGUUCCACAGUUUGGCUGAAAAGACGUAAAGGCAGUCAGCCCAGUGGUGUUUCUGGAGAGGGAUUCCUUCAGAAAUGGAGAAGACAGAAAGCUGUGGAGGCAGAUAUAUGCAGCAGAUUUUUUGCAGAUAAUCCUAAUGCUGUUCUUCUUUUUCAGGUCUAAAAUAUCAAGCUCAACAGCUCACUCAAGAGCCAACCCUCACAAACCUUCCUAAAAACUAAAAGAGCUAUUACUGAGUCUCAGCGAAUCUUGCCAUGAUCAGCUCUUCCCAGAAGAGAAGGAAGACCAAGGAAAUGAUUUGCUCAGGAUGAGAAAUGAAGACAGCCAUCUUGUGCUCAAACAAACAGAAGUCCUCUGAUGAUCUCAUCAGCCAAAUAUGGGGUUUUGACCAAGUGAUGCUCUUGAAAGGAGUGAAAGAAGAAGAUGUGCUAAAUUCUCUUCAGAGAAAAAGCUUCUCAAAAGGUCUCAAAACAGCUUGAAGAAUGGUCUGGGAUGUUAGGACUGAGAGAUCCUCUGGCUGAGAACAAGCUACACCACAUCAGUGCUGGAUAUCAACCACAAACUGUUUCCAGACACGAGAGAAGAAGAACAUGAUGGGGAGAUGAAACCAGUUUAGAUGUGAU